AGAACGAACGCUGGCGGCAGGCUUAACACAUGCAAGUCGAGCGCUGUAGCAAUACAGAGCGGCGCACGGGUGAGUAACACGUGGGAACGUGCCCAAUGGUUCGGAAUAACUCAGGGAAACUUGAGCUAAUACCGGAUGAGCCCUAACGGGGAAAGAUUUAUCGCCAUUGGAGCGGCCCGCGCCCGAUUAGCUAGUUGGUGAGGUAAUGGCUCACCAAGGCAACGAUCGGUAGCUGGUCUGAGAGGACGACCAGCCACACUGGGACUGAGACACGGCCCAGACUCCUACGGGAGGCAGCAGUGGGGAAUCUUGGACAAUGGGGGAAACCCUGAUCCAGCCAUGCCGCGUGAGUGAUGAAGGCCCUAGGGUUGUAAAACUCUUUCGGCGGGACGAUAAUGACGGUACCGCAGAAGAGCCCGGCUAACUUCGUGCCAGCAGCCGC
This 442-nucleotide ribosomal RNA is filed under the name uncultured bacterium. Its description in RNAcentral is "SSU rRNA". It matches the Rfam family "Bacterial small subunit ribosomal RNA", at positions 26 to 518 of the family's 1533-position model. The record is from RNAcentral.